UGGCCGUUCUUAGUUCGUGGAGUGAUCUGUCUGCUUAAUUGCGUUUCAAAUAUAUUUUAUUAUAUAACGAGUCUACAAAGGAGUGGUUCAUUAACAGACAAUCAUAUCUUUGAGCGUCUGGAAUCUACUCUAUUUGGCUCAAUUGAACGCAACGGACGUGAUCGCGAGUCCUUGUUGAACUUCAGUAUAUAUUGACUAUCCCCGUAGGAAGGGAUUGGCAAUAAUUGAAUGUUCGCUUUCUAUUAGGUGUGUAUAUAUAGUCUCAAAAUUACAUGUAUUUGUAAUGGCGAGUAAUAUUUAUACUAUCCUGUAGGAAAACUCGGGCGACCGCUGUAAUAUUUCUCUUUAAAACAGAGGAAGAUUGCGGCAAUAACAGGUCUGUGAUGCCCUCAGAUGUCCCGGGCCGC
Molecule: ribosomal RNA, 407 nt
Filed under: Globigerinella siphonifera
Lineage: Eukaryota; Foraminifera; Rotaliida; Globigerinidae
Description: bacterial SSU rRNA
Rfam family: Eukaryotic small subunit ribosomal RNA
Source: RNAcentral